CAGAGGCAACUGGGCAGAAUAGCAGCUGGAGGAAGGUUGUUGCCUGUUGCUGUUAGGGGGAAACCAGGGACAUCUGCUACUACCUCUGCCUUGGGAGGCUUCAACAAGAUGCAGAGAAAAGCAGUUAUAGGUCACUUAGCCCAGAAUCCUAGGGGAAGUGGGAGUGCUGACUGCAUCUAAAUCUUGGAUAUUCCACGCAGAAGCAAUGGAACCUAGAAGCAGGAAGAGAGCAUGCUUCCCAUCCACCCAGAUCAGCAACACCCUCUCCUCCUAUUUCCAUCACAGCAACAGUCCCAGAUCUAGCCCUUAAAAGCCCUAGGUCCACCAGGAGGAUUCAGAUGACCACCAGCAGCAGGAGGAGGAGUUGCAAGCAGGACAGGAAGGUCUCAUACACCCUUGAAGUCAUCUGAGCAACCUGAUGUUGAAUUGUUUCUCGCCUAGAUUGUUGCAGAUGGACCACACCAGAUUGAGGGUCUGUUGGACCUGCUCCGGAGACGUGUCCUUGAUGAGCCAGUCAUUUAGAUACAGGAAGAUCUGGAUGCCUCAACGUCUCAGGUAAGCCACUACUGCUGCCACACACUUUGUGAUCACCCUGGGGGCUGAGGACAGGCCAAAGGGUAACACUCUGAACUGGAAGUGAUGCCCAGCCACUAUAAACACAGGAAGUGCCUGUGGCCUAGGACUAUGGAGACAUGAAAGUCAGCGCCCUUUAAAUUGAGAGUGGUGUAUCAGCCCCCCAGAUCCAGGGAAGAGAUGAUGGAGGGCAGGGAGACCAUGUGGAACUUCAGCUUCUUGAGAGACUUGUUGAGGCCAUGCAGGUCCCUUUUGGCCUUUGGGAUUAGGAAGUACAGUCCUCAUCCUUCCAUGUCCCGAGGAACCUCCAAGCCCUGGAGCUUCUCUACCUCAUGAAUGAGGAGUUGCUUGUGAGAAGGGUCCCUAAGAGGGACGGGAAAAUGAAGGGGCGGGAAGGAGGGGCGGCCAAGAACUGCAGGUUAUAGCCCCGAGCCAUUAUGUUCAGGACCCAGAGGUCCGAUGUAAUCCACGACCAAUCACUUCUGGCCCCUGGUUCUUUUGUGGUUCCAGGCUGGGCUGGCAAACAGGAGGAAGAAAGGCGACGAUGACUGAAACUAGCAUCCCCUCUCUGUGUAGGUCCCUGACGAGGCUUCCAGAGUGUUGGCCAGAAGGGCUUCCUGGCUGAUUGUGGCCUAUGCAUGCCCAACAAGAGAAGGGCAGCCUUAGUGUCCUUCAAUCCGUGCAGCUUGGCAUCCAUUUGAUCCGAGAACAGACCAACUAUGUCAAAAGGGAGGUCCUGGAUCGAGGCCUGCAUCUCCUGGGAGAGGCCUGCUAUCCGGAGCCAGGAACUACGUUGCAUGACCAUCACCGAUGUGACCACCUUUGCUGCUGAGUCCACCAUGUUCCAUGCGGUCUGCAGGGAGCAUCUGUCACCGUCAUACCCUUCUCCACCAGAGUUGCAAACUCUUGGGCCAAACCCUGAGGGAGGUAUUCCUGGAACUUUCUGAGACCAUCCCAGAGAUUAAAAUUGUAGCAGCCCUGCAGGGGCUGAUGGUUCGCUACCCAAAAUUGCAGGCUGGAGGUGGAAUAAAUUAUUCUCCCAAAUAAAUCAAGUUUCUUAGCCUUGUUGUUUGGGAGUCAAGGAGGUGGGGACCUGCUUGUCUUUUUCAUUGGCUGCAAAUACAACCAGCAAGCCCAGGGGCAGGUGGGUAUAGAGGUACUCAAAAUCUCUGGUCAGCACAAAGUACUUUUUCUCAGCCCAUUUUGAAGUGGACGGGAUGAAGGAUGGGGUCUGCAACAAGGCCUUGGCUAUCUUGAGGACUCCCUGGGAACGCGUAGAGGCUGAGAGAAUGUUGAAGAGGGUGUCCUCCUGCUCUGCCAUCUCCUGUACCUCAAGGCGAAAGUCCUCGGCCAUGCACCGUAGAAGGUCUAGAUGUUCUCUAAGUCAUCCAGCAGGCUAGCUCUGGAAGAUCCCACAACCGCCUCAUCUGGGGAUGACAAGGAAGACAGGACCUCCAGUGGAGGUGCUCGGAUCUUGACCACCACUGUAGAAAGAGGCUUUGGGGUGGGAAGAGGUUCCUCCACCCUGACCUCAGAACGGGCUUUUGGUACCAGGUCCAGUGCUGGUAGAGCCACCGUCCAAGCUUCCAUCGCAGGCACUGAGAAAUGCUAUGAAGGAGGCAUCAUCACAACCAGUACGCCCCAUGUGCUCCAAUAAGGCCACUGCGCUGGCCACUGACAAAGGUGCAUACAGGAGUUUGGGUCCCAUACCACUCCCAGGAGUCAGUGGCGGACCCUUAACAGGGCGGGGUGCCCCAGCUGGGGAGGAACGAUUGCGUAGCUCUGGAAUAGUCUGGUGGGCAGGUCCGAGUCCCUUGGUAGAUGACACCUGGGCCUUCUUGCUCAGUGCCAAGGAGCACUUCUUGGCCUUUUUCUUCGGCACUGGCAAAGGUGAACAGUGCCAGUAGGAGUUGGGUCCUGGAGGUGUGCUGCUCACGGAGGCCAAGGCACUUGGUGUGACCUGACUGGGUGGCUUGGAAGCCAGACAGAGGGGGCAGAUGUCUUGCUCUUUCUGGGUGCGGGGACAAAAGUUUUUGAAGACUCGCUACUGCCCAAAAUGUGUGACCACCAUGGGCAGUAAGAAUGAACUGAUAGGGCGUAGGGCUGGCGGCACCUGAUAUAUCCAGCAUGAGCGCAGCAUUCCAGAUAGGGUUGCCAGGUGUCUGGUUUUCGACCAGAACACCCAGUCGAAAAGGGACCUUGAAGGCUUCAGUC
This is a long non-coding RNA of Chelonoidis abingdonii (Abingdon island giant tortoise), 2787 nucleotides long. RefSeq lists it as uncharacterized. The record is from RefSeq and is a predicted model, not a curated record. NCBI's taxonomy places the organism in Eukaryota, Metazoa, Chordata, Testudines, Testudinidae.